GGGUCUGCUGCUGAUUGGCUGGAAUGUGUCUGCUGACUGUGAGGUACAGGGUCAAAGUUUACUCAAUGAUGAGUCCGUGGUGAACCGUUCGUGGUGAAACGUUCGCGAACCGUUCGGCGAACCGUUCGGCGAACCGUUCGGGACAUCACUAUACUUCAAUAAUAUACUGUUGGACCAAGGCCUAUUCUUUACUUGCAUUUCACGGAAAGCUUCCAUUGUGUGAGUGCAUGUGCUUUUGUUUGAAAAGAAAUUUGAACAAAAUUGAUGCUUCAUUUUUGUUUAAAAAAACAAACAAAAACAGUAGAAUAAAAAAAACAUAGUACUUCUCAUGACAUCAUUUGGCCUUCUAUCCAUUAAGACCACCAUCUUUCUCAGUCCAUUGGUUUUCAGAGUGCAUGAUUGAACGGGUACUUAUACAAGGUUAGAUUGCAACAUUACCCAUGGUGAUUUUUUUAAGACAUCAUGCUUACGUUUGGGUGACUUUAUUCUUCCUAAGACAGGUACUGUUGAACCUCGAAAGCAUGAAAGUAAUGUUUUUGUUACAUCUAGUUCCAAUAUAAGUUGACGUUCACAAUUUAGUUGUUGGUUUGUAAACUGCAAGAAGUAAAAUUGUAAAAAUAGAAUUUAACGCAAGCUCCUAAAGCAAAAUGUAAAGGAAAAAAUUCACUACAGGGGUUUCUAAACUCAUUUCUGUAAACCACAGUCUCCACACUUUAAUUAUAUCCACAAACUGUUACAGUGUGAGGGAUUGCACUCCCUGAAUUUUAAGGACCCGAUUGCACUCCCUUAAAUUUCAGGGAUGGGACUUGCUUUUAACCCAAGUAUUGACAUGACAUUUCUACUAUAACUUAACUGAGCAAGUAUGUGUGUUUCCAGUUGCUUAAAAAUAAAAACUAAAUUUUCCAUCUAGCUCCACUUUUUGUUGUUCUCUGAGGCAAAUAUCCAUAACCUUCAAUGCCCUACGUGAAAUCCUGCUUAAUGAGAUGCACUUUACAUAUACACUGGCAAUAUUAUUAAUUGAAAUAUAAUUGAAUAACACUGCCAUAGUGAUGUCCCGAACUGUUCGCCGAAUGGUUCGCCACGGUUCACCGCGAACGGUUCGCCAUGAACUCCAGUCAGCAGACACACUCCAGCCAAUCAGCAGCAGACCCUCCCUCCCAGAUCCUCCCACCUCCUGGACAGCUCACUGAGAAUGCAGCUUCAAAAUGGAUGCUGUCCAUGAGGUGGAUGGGUCUGGGAGGGAGGGUCUGCUGCUGAUUGGCUGGAAUGUGUCUGCUGACUGGAGUUCGUGGCGAACUGUGGCGAACCGUUUGCGAACCGUUCGGCGAACAGUUCGGGACAUCACUACACUGCCACCAUGAAUGGAAAUGUACAUUCAUGAGCAAAAUGUAUUUCAAUGAAUGCUAAUUAAUUCCGUAUAAGGCUACACUACAGUCCAUGGUGUGUUGGGCUUCAGCCCUGAUAGCCCUUUUUUCUGAUAACACUGCGAAUUUUAUAUAUAUUUUAUAUUUCGUCCAUAUUACUUGUUGCAACAAGUCAAUGCAUUAUAAUGUGAUAAGCAUGGGACAUCCCUUAAAAAACUAAAGGUUAAUAUUUCCCCCCAAGAAUAAUUAGGAAAUCCAGGAAGUUCUGUUUCAUCUGUCAUUAUAAACACUACCUAGCCACUUUGGUGCUUCACUGGCUCAAUAGCCACAGGGCUAACAACCAUUUAUCCUUCCCAGGUCAAUAACAUGAGAAUCAUAUUUCUAUCAGAUGCUGAAUGUAUUAACUUAGACAGUGUCGCAGUUAUUCACUAAAGUAAGAAUUCAACGUGACUUUCAAAUUGAAAGGCAAAAACAGCUGAAAUUGAAAAUGUUUCAGUCCGUGAUUAUUCCAGUUUGUCAGAGAGAGUGAGUGUCUGUGUGUGUGUGGUUUUUUUUCAUGGUAAUUUACUGAAGGGAGUAUUGUCUGGAAUUCAAAAUUAAUUCAAGGUGAAUUUCACAUUUAAAAUGGCUCUUUCAUAAAGAUAAAGCAUUUGUGAAAUAUUCACAUGGACGGUGUUGAAAUUUCAAUGUAGUCAAAGAUCUACUGAGACAAGUUAGGGAUUACUUUGUUUUAGUAUAUUCCCUACGCUUGACAAAAGGCGGAGCUGCCGAUGUCCCGUUUUGUUAUUUCCCCCAGCUGUCACUAGUCUAAGUAAAAAGGCAUUGUCUAUUGAGGUUUCCGGCAGUCUUGUGGGAUCCUCCAUAGACAUCAGUGCUGUACUUGGACCAGAGUAGAACACUAAUGUGGUCUCCUGGCAGAUGAAGCUCUUGGAGCCGGUGGAGACCAAGACAGCCGCUACCAUGGACUGAUUCACGUAAGUAAAACUUACUUUUCUCUGCACCCAAAAAAACACCAGACACCAAGCAGAGCAGUCAUCAUUGUGGGGAGGGGGGUCUUUGCAAAAUAUGCAAAGACAGUGGUAGAGCCACUCUAAAGCCAAGUUAAAGCAUAACUGAUUUGAAGAUUUUUUCCAGUUCAGCAACUUUGGCUUUAAAUUUGAAAUUCAUAUUAAUUUCACUUUGAAUUCCCAAUAAUUCUCACUUUAGUAAAUAAUCCUGUUAGUGUUGGAUAAAACAGGCGACAGCAAAAAGUUUAAAUGUGACUCAAAACUAAUGGAAUGUAUAAAAUGUUUCAAAGUUUUACUUUGCAAAUGUUCUUUUUGUCUUACUUCUGUUUAUUUACAUGGGUCACAUAAUUCUUUAGUAAUUAUCGCAACCAUCAUAUAAUGCUGCAUUUAAUUGUAUUUGCCCCUAGUGGUUAUGUUGAAAACUGCAAGAAAUAAAAUGUCUAUUGCACAUUUUUCCACCAAGUGCAGUACCCCUAUAUCCUUUUCCCAGUCAAUGCGUGGAAAUGGUGGGAAUGUUCUUGAACUCACCACACGGGUACUAUUUUCCAAUGUGUCAUUAUUAAUAUCAUUUUUUUUUAAACUUUUGUAUUUUCUGCAGUUUUGUUUUGUCUGAACAUUUGCGGUUGUGGCAAACUUCUUGUAAAUGGAAAUUACUCCGAUUUUUUUAAUUUUUUUAUAGGUUUAAAUAGUUACUGUUUUCCUGAUCGUCAUGGCAGUUGAAAAAUACAAACCGGGUUAAAGUCUAGGUUGUUGGGAGUUCAAGAUGUUGAAAUUUUAGACCAAAAUAAAUUAAUUGUAAAAAAUCUUCAAGUCCGUUGUUUUAAUUUCAGUGAAGUUGGCCUAAAAAUUUAAUUCACUGGAUUUUCACAGCAAUUCACACCUAGAAUGACCCAGAAUGUUUCAACUGAGAAGAAAAUACUUAUGUUUUAGAUAUUGUAGUAUGUUAGGAAAAAUGUCUUAUGAACUAAGUCUUUACUCUCUAGUCUUCUUUUAAACAUAUCAGAUUUAAAAUCUUAAUACCUAGUGUUACACCAGCAAAAUAAAAAAAACAUACUCUGUAAGUGUGUGGGCAUGAUCACUGUAUUGUUACACAUCACAAUCACAAUCUGUUGAGAUUUCUUUGUGUCCUCUUUAAUUUCCAGAUAAUUUUAGAAUCUUCAUGUGUGUGUAUAUAUAUAUUAAACAAAUAUACAAAGUAUUUUGUUCUACCUCUGUAAAGAAAGUGUGAAUAAAGUCACAUUGUCUGUGAAGUAUUGUGAAUAUUGCAAAAUGUGGUCUCUGUUUUUAUUUCUAAUUGCAC
Pelobates cultripes (western spadefoot toad) is the source of this 3671-nucleotide non-coding RNA. NCBI's taxonomy places the organism in Eukaryota, Metazoa, Chordata, Amphibia, Anura, Pelobatidae. The record is from the annotation of a GenBank genome assembly.